UUGAAGGAUUUGUAAGAAAUGUUUGAGAGAACUGAUUCACUGUUUAACACUGAGUCAGUUAGUUUCCUCAAACAUUUCUUACAAAUCCUUCAA
Molecule: non-coding RNA, 93 nt
Organism: Paramuricea clavata
Lineage: Eukaryota; Metazoa; Cnidaria; Anthozoa; Malacalcyonacea; Plexauridae
Source: the annotation of a GenBank genome assembly